Molecule: ribosomal RNA, 451 nt
Filed under: uncultured bacterium
Lineage: Bacteria
Description: partial 16S ribosomal RNA
Rfam family: Bacterial small subunit ribosomal RNA
Source: RNAcentral
GUGGGGAAUAUUGGACAAUGGGGGGAACCCUGAUCCAGCCAUGCCGCGUGUGUGAAGAAGGCCUUUUGGUUGUAAAGCACUUUAAGCGAGGAGGAGGCUACCGAGAUUAAUACUCUUGGAUAGUGGACGUUACUCGCAGAAUAAGCACCGGCUAACUCUGUGCCAGCAGCCGCGGUAAUACAGAGGGUGCAAGCGUUAAUCGGAUUUACUGGGCGUAAAGCGCGCGUAGGUGGCCAAUUAAGUCAAAUGUGAAAUCCCCGAGCUUAACGUGGGAAUUGCAUUCGAUACUGGUUGGCUAGAGUAUGGGAGAGGAUGGUAGAAUUCCAGGUGUAGCGGUGAAAUGCGUAGAGAUCUGGAGGAAUACCGAUGGCGAAGGCAGCCAUCUGGCCUAAUACUGACACUGAGGUGCGAAAGCAUGGGGAGCAAACAGGAUUAGAUACCCUGGUAGUCC